Molecule: ribosomal RNA, 461 nt
Filed under: uncultured Methylomirabilota bacterium
Lineage: Bacteria; Methylomirabilota (SeqCode)
Description: bacterial SSU rRNA
Rfam family: Bacterial small subunit ribosomal RNA
Source: RNAcentral
GGGCUUGACAUCCCACGAACCUGCCCGAAAGGGUUGGGUGCCCGCAAGGGAGCGUGGAGACAGGUGGUGCAUGGCUGUCGUCAGCUCGUGUCGUGAGAUGUUGGGUUAAGUCCCGCAACGAGCGCAACCCUCACCCCUUGUUGCCACCGGGUAAAGCCGAGCACUCUAGGGGAACUGCCAGCGUCAAGCUGGAGGAAGGCGAGGAUGACGUCAAGUCAUCAUGCCCCUUACGCCCUGGGCUACACACGUGCUACAAUGGCCGGCACAAAGGGAUGCAAGACCGCGAGGUGGAGCUAACCCCAAAAAACCGGUCUAAGUUCAGAUUGCAGUCUGCAACUCGACUGCAUGAAGGAGGAAUCGCUAGUAAUCGCGCAUCAGCACGGCGCGGUGAAUACGUUCCCGGGCCUUGUACACACCGCCCGUCACACCACGAAGGCCGGCUGUACUCGAAGUCGCUGAGA